AGAGGACAUGUUAGAGCUACAUAAGGGCGAGGACUAGAUGCUUGCCAGCCCUCCCCACUCUGUGAGGAGCAAAGCUCAGUGUGGCUCCUUGUGGGGUGGGAGUUCAGACUGGUGCUGGGGUGUGGGGCCCCCCCUCCCGAUGCAUAUGAAGAGUUUUGCCUCUUUUAGCAUCUGUCUCUCCAUCUGGAAAAUGCAACAUCAACAAGGCCAGCCUUUGACUCCUACAAGGAGCCCCUUUAAUAAUCCAAGCGGACAUUCUUUCUGCUCAAAGCACAGCAUGUGUGCGGCCCCCUGAGAACCAGCCAGGCUGGACGCCUACAGAAAUUCAAGGCACCCACACCACCUGUGUGCCUGGUGAUGACUCUGGAAGGCUGAGCUCUUCUGCAGAGGAGGAAACUGAAGCUUGUGCCUGGGUCCUUCUAUGGACCCUUCCCACUCCUCUUAUGAGCCUCCAUAGUAUCACAGAACGUUCUCUGAGACGCCAUCUGGAUGUCAGGGAAGAUGACAGGUCAGAGAGCUCUCUGGACUCUCCAGCCACUUCCCUCAGCCUGCAGCGGGGCUCAGCACCACCCCACAAGGCGAACGGGGGAAGGCAGAGUGUCGAGGAGGUGGGAGCGCUGGUCCCUGCUGCCAGGAUGUGUGCCGGUGUGCUAAGAGUGACAGAACUAAUUUCCCAAACACCAUCUGAGCCGAGUGCAUGUCGAUGAGGGAGACCGUUUUUUAAAUUUUAAAUUAGAAAUUACAUUUUUUCCCUGCCAAAAUAAAGAUGCGAAAUCAAAGGAAUCUGGUUUGGAA
Molecule: long non-coding RNA, 795 nt
Filed under: Castor canadensis (American beaver)
Lineage: Eukaryota; Metazoa; Chordata; Mammalia; Rodentia; Castoridae
Description: lncRNA (ENSCCNG00000027886.1)
Source: RNAcentral